GUUUUUUGGGGUUUUUUUUGGAGACAGAGUCUCGCUCUGUCACCCAGGCUGGAGUGCAGUGGCGCGAUCUCAGCUCACUGCAAGCUCCACCUCCGGGUUCACGCCGUUCUCCUGCCUUAGCCUCCUGAGUAGCUGGGACUACAGGCACCUGCCACCACAUCCAGCUAAUUUUUUGUAUUUUUAGUAGAGAUGGGGUUUCACUGUGUUAGCCAGGAUAGUCUCGAUCUCCUGACCUCGUGAUCCUCCUGUCAUGGUCUCCCAAAGUGCUGGGAUUACAGGCAUGAGCCACCACACCUGGCCGAAUUUUUAUAUUUUUUAGUAGAGAUGCAGUUUUGCCAUGUUGGCCAGGCUGAUCUUGAACUCCUGACUUCAAGUGAUCCGCCCGCCUCAGCCUCCCAAAGUGCUGAGAUUACAGGCAUGAGCCACUACAUCUGGCCGGAAUUCAAAUUUCAUCUAAACUCUUACUAACCUGGAGACCAUGGGCAAAUGGUUUAACUUGAUCUGAGCCUCCAUUUCCUCCUCAUCUAUUACAUAGGGAUUCAGUAAAUUCUUUCAGCAACUACCCUAUCAGAAAUCACCAGUCUUCCACGCAACAUUUUCCAUUCCUCUUCCCUGUUUUAUAUUUCUCCAUGGAUCUUACCAUAAUUUAACAUACUAUAUGGUGAACUUACUAGUUCUUUCUCCUCCUCCCUCUAGAAUGUGAUUUCCAUGAAGGUGGGAAUUUUUGUCUAUUUUGUUCAUUGUCUGGCAUGUAGUAGGUACUCAAUAAAUAUUUGUCUGAUGAGUAAACAAACUUCCUGUAGGGUGGUUGUGAAGUUAGAAUGGGAGCUUUUUAUUUUAUUUGUUUGAGACAGUCGUACCUUGUCACCCAGGCUGGAGUGUGGUGGUGCAGACAUGGCUCACUGCAAGCACCCAACUCCUGGGCUCAAGCAAUCCUCCCACUUUAGCCUUCUGAGUAGCUAGGACCACAGGCCCAUGGUGCCACACCUGGCUAAUUUUUAAAAAAUUGUAUUGUAGAGAUGGGGUCUCCCUAUGUUGCUCAGGCUGGUCUUGAACUCCUGGCUUAAGCAAUCCUCCCACCUUGGCCUCCAAAGUGCUAGGGUUAUAGGCAUAAGCCAUGGUGCCCAGUCUUGAAUGAAAGCUUUUAGAGCACUUAUUUUGGCACUUGGCAUGUUUUCUUUGGCUCUAAGGAAGAUAAUACAAGUCUUAUUUAUAUAACUGAUUAAUGUGUAAAGUGUCUUGCUACACAUUGCUCAGUUAUAUCAGAAUGGAAGUAUGGAUAUUAGAUGCUUAUAAAGUUUUAAAAUGAAAUAGGCUGGGCACAGUGACUCAUUCCUGUAAUGCCAGCACUUGGGGAGGCCAAAUUAGGAGGAUUGCCUGAGGCCAGGAGUUCGAGACCAGUCUGGGCAACAUAGUGAGACCAUAUCUCUACCAAAAAAAAAAAAAAAAA
Molecule: long non-coding RNA, 1450 nt
Filed under: Macaca fascicularis (crab-eating macaque)
Lineage: Eukaryota; Metazoa; Chordata; Mammalia; Primates; Cercopithecidae
Description: lncRNA (ENSMFAG00000062840.1)
Source: RNAcentral